This 69-nucleotide transfer RNA is filed under the name Urasterias lincki. RNAcentral's name for it is "tRNA-Pro". Lineage: Eukaryota; Metazoa; Echinodermata; Asteroidea; Forcipulatida; Asteriidae. The record is from RNAcentral.
UCAGAAGAACAAGACUUAAACUUGCAUCAAUAACUCCCAAAGCUAUUAUUUUUUAUAAACUAUCUCCUG